RNAcentral lists this non-coding RNA (653 nucleotides) under Perkinsus marinus ATCC 50983. RNAcentral describes it as "Eukaryotic small subunit ribosomal RNA". It matches the Rfam family "Eukaryotic small subunit ribosomal RNA", at positions 1 to 659 of the family's 1831-position model. The record is from Rfam by way of RNAcentral. Lineage: Eukaryota; Perkinsozoa; Perkinsida; Perkinsidae.
CACCUGGUUGAUCCUGCCAGUAGUCAUAUGCUUGUCUCAAAGAUUAAGCCAUGCAUGUCUAAGUAUAAGCUUUAAACGGCGAAACUGCGAAUGGCUCAUUAAAACAGUUAUAGUUUAUUUGGUGAUCGAUUACUAUUUGGAUAACCGUAGUAAUUCUAGAGCUAAUACAUGCGUCAAGGCCCGACUUCGGAAGGGCUGCGUUUAUUAGAUACAGAACCAACCUAGGCUCCGCCUAGUCCUUGUUGGUGAUUCAUAAUAACCCGGCGAAUCGCACGGCUUGUCCGGCGAUGGACCAUUCAAGUUUCUGACCUAUCAGCUAUGGACGGUAGGGUAUUGGCCUACCGUGGCGUUGACGGGUAACGGGGAAUUAGGGUUCGAUUCCGGAGAGGGAGCCUGAGAAACGGCUACCACAUCUAAGGAAGGCAGCAGGCGCGCAAAUUACCCAAUCCUGAUACAGGGAGGUAGUGACAAGAAAUAACAAUACAGGGCAAUUCUGUCUUGUAAUUGGAAUGAGUAGAUUUUAAAUCUCUUUACGAGUAUCAAUUGGAGGGCAAGUCUGGUGCCAGCAGCCGCGGUAAUUCCAGCUCCAUAGCGUAUAUUAAAGUUGUUGCGGUAAAAAGCUCGUAGUUGGAUUUCUGCCUUGGGCGACCGAU